RNAcentral lists this long non-coding RNA (617 nucleotides) under Homo sapiens (human). RNAcentral describes it as "HSALNT0062278". Lineage: Eukaryota; Metazoa; Chordata; Mammalia; Primates; Hominidae. The record is from RNAcentral.
UAUAAAAGGUGAAGAAGAUGUAUAUUUAUUGUCGUGUUUACUAGAAAAAAUACAAAGCCUGAGAAUUUACCAACAAUACUGUUUAAGAAAAGAGUAACAAAAAGAGGGGGAGGAUUUAAAGAAAAUCAUUAGGUAAAACUAUAGUGAGAGGUAAUUAAAAUGUCAAACCAUCCUUAAAGCGUAGGUAAAUUACCGUAGUCCAGGAAACACAGGUUUAGGAGUUCAGAUUGACAAUUAACUCAGAGUCGCUAUGCUCAGCUCUGAGAUCUUGGCAAAUUAUACACUCAAUUAACUUCUGCAAAAUAAAGUUACAAUUACAAAAUAAAGUCAUUAUCAUUGAAUUUCAUAUAUUUCUUAUUAAAUGAGGCCAUGUUCAAAGGUGAAAGUGAUUUGUAAACCAUAUGAAUCUAUAGAAACAUAUUGCAUUAUUAAGCAUGGUUAGAAAAAAGAGUGGUGAAACUUUUCUUUGAUAUGCUGUGGACUCUCCAAAUUUUAUAAAUAGAAGCAGGAAGAAGAUAGAAAAUAUAAGGCUUUUUUUGUAUUUUUGUAGAGACGGGGUUUCACCAUGUUGACCAGGCUGGUCUCAAAUUCCUGACCUCAGGUGAUCCUCCCGCCUU